GCUUAUCCCUCUCCCCUUUUUUCCCAUCAUCGUCUGCAACAAACAGCCUAUCUCUAAGAAUCCUAAUUACGUCGCCAUAAAUUCCCUAAGCUGUUGUGGUGGCGCCGGUCACCAAACCUUACCCCAUUAACACCCUAGGCUCUCCUUCUCAUCCUCUAUCUAAAUAUAUAACUCAUUUCCUUCGAAUCACAACUCAGCUGCUCGAAUCUUGAUUUAAUGAUCAGACUCAAAACCCCAGUUCAUCCAAACUUUCCCAAAAUCACACCCUACAAUCCCCGGACUUCCUCACCCCUAAUCCCUACCUAAAUUCCUUCAAACCCCAUUGAAUUUUGAAAAAUAUUUAAUCUAGGGUUCACACGUUUUUACGCUAUUGUGAAGAUUUUCAAAUCGAUGAUUUAUAGUUAAUAUUAUAGAUCAAUUUUUUGACAAAAAAGAUGUAUAAUAUUAACAGUAAAUCAUUUUUGGACAGUUUUCUUAUGAAGUCCAAAAUCAGUAAGGUUUCUUUUCGAUCUUUACUUCUUUUUAACAUUCUCAUGAGUUUUAGGUUUUGAUUAGUUUAAUUAGUGCUCUUGAUUGUUAGCUAACUUUAUUUCAUUUGUUUUUCUGUGUUAAUAUUAGUCGAUCUUAGUCUAACUAUGUUCAUUUAAGUUAGUCUUAGCAUAAUUUUGAUUACUCAAUUGAAUCAAUUUUAUUUUCAUAGUAUUUAACUUCCAGUUUAGUUUUCAGUUUUUCGUUUGAUUCUAUUCUGAUUUCUCGUGUUCUGAUUUGGUUCUUGAAGCAUCUUCCUGGCUGUUUGGAUUUAGCUCAUUUUGGUUUUUUCUUAGUUCAAAUCUAAUUUUAGUUUAAUUCUGUAGGAUUUAUUAUGCUGAUUUUAGAUUUAAUACUUGGUAAUUGUUCUGUGUUUAGUUUGAUUCUUCUUCUUUUAAAUUAGUUUGCCUUCAUUUAGUUUAGUCUAGUGUUGAUUAAUCAGAAAUUUCUUUAGUUUGGUAAUUUGUCUUAACUAGUUUAGGUUUAGUUUGUUGGGUUAAAGUGUUAAUCUCAAUGUUGCACUAAGCCCAGCGGGCUUUGGUUGGGUAGUAAUUUCAGGGAGAAAAUAUGAGUAGUUUAGGCAUAGAAAAGGACAGUUUUAUUGAAUAGUAAUUUCCAAACAAAGGCAAGGGUCGUAUAGGUAUUGUAUGAGUAGAAGAACACCCAAGGGCCUUCUGGAAGGGCCUUUAGUGUAAGUUUCUACAUUUUUAAUGAAGCAACUUGGGUAACAAGCCACAAAUUCAAGGAUUAAUUACCAAUUUCUGAAAAUAAAAAGGGGGAAAAUGUGUGAAAGGGUGCAGAACUUUCUGCCCCGUUAUGGCUUAUAAAAGGCCGCCCUAGUACCUUCACUAAGGGAUUUUUUGGACUCCCUAGAAAUACCCAAAGUUCCAGCCAUCUGAUUCCUCCAAAAUCCUUCUAUAAUUUCCAAAUCUAUGUUUUAUUUUUGAAAUUCAAACAUUAAAAACCCCCAAAACAAUAAAAAUCAUUAGAAAACUAAAAACAAUUUAGGAGCACUGUUCCAUUGCAAAUUUUAGUCAACUUUGAGCUUCAUAUUUGAGAGUGCAUCACUUAGAGAUUCAGUAGUGUGGUUGUUUCAUUUCAAGCUGUUUGAAGAUCUAUUGGUUUUCAUUUUCUGCUGUGUUUGGGUCUGCUGUAUGAGUUUCAUUUGGGUUUCAAAUCAAUUUCGAUCUUUGAGCUAUUUCUGGGUUGGAAUUGCAUUGUCUGUUGCUGCUGUGCUAAUUUCUUCUUCUUCUUCUUCUUCUAUUGAAUUCUGCUCCCCAGGUACACAACUUGAGACUCUAUGGUUUUAACUUGACAUGGUUGAAACAUGGAAUAAACUGAGAAGGAUUCUCUUGUUGUGGAUAAACAUUCUGAUAUUUAUGUCGCUUUAAAACACUAUUCUGUGAUUCAAUUGUUUGGUUGUGAUGCUUGAAAUUCAUUAAUAAUCCUAGACUCAUUCAUAGAUGUGUAGACUAUUGAAUUAUCCUUCUAAAUAGUGAACCUGCGUUGCAACCUUAAUGUGAGUUAAUUUGAUUUCCUAGUAUAAUGUGGUGUGGUACAAAGUGGCUUGCCUCCAGUAGUAUUUUUGUUUAUAUAAGUUAAACAGUUUAUAUUCCAGUAUGCUAGCUCAUGUGUCCAGCUUUGAAAUCGUGUGUAAAUAACAUUAGUCCAAGCAGUUUAUUUUCUAUCUUUCAAUGAUAAUGAAUGGGGUUAAUUCUUAGACACCUGAAUUAUUCUUCAAUUUCUAGUUUAUUUCGCAUUUUGGGAGUAAAGCAGUAAUUGAAUAAGACACAUAGAAUAUAAAAUUCAUCUAUGCAGAUAUCAGUAGGCA
Molecule: long non-coding RNA, 2359 nt
Filed under: Nicotiana benthamiana
Lineage: Eukaryota; Viridiplantae; Streptophyta; Magnoliopsida; Solanales; Solanaceae
Description: long non-coding RNA (NBEN_LNC029462)
Source: RNAcentral